Xylaria telfairii is the source of this 141-nucleotide non-coding RNA. The record is from the annotation of a GenBank genome assembly. NCBI's taxonomy places the organism in Eukaryota, Fungi, Ascomycota, Sordariomycetes, Xylariales, Xylariaceae.
UCUCGAUUGGUCUAGUGGUCAGGAUACCUGCUUGUCAUCCUAUGGUUUAAUCUACCUACCUACCUACCUGCUUGGUAUGGGCUUUUCUUACCGUCUUAUAGAAAUUCGCAGGUGGCCGGGGUUCGAUUCCCCGAUCGAGAG